RNAcentral lists this ribosomal RNA (714 nucleotides) under uncultured bacterium. Its description in RNAcentral is "bacterial SSU rRNA". It matches the Rfam family "Bacterial small subunit ribosomal RNA", at positions 55 to 763 of the family's 1533-position model. The record is from RNAcentral.
AUGCAGUCGAACGGCAGCACGGAGCUUGCUCUGGUGGCGAGUGGCGAACGGGUGAGUAAUAUAUCGGAACGUACCCUAGAGUGGGGGAUAACGUAGCGAAAGUUACGCUAAUACCGCAUACGAUCUAAGGAUGAAAGUGGGGGAUUCGCAAGAACCUCAUGCUCGUGGAGCGGCCGAUAUCUGAUUAGCUAGUUGGUAGGGUAAAAGCCUACCAAGGCAUCGAUCAGUAGCUGGUCUGAGAGGACGACCAGCCACACUGGAACUGAGACACGGUCCAGACUCCUACGGGAGGCAGCAGUGGGGAAUUUUGGACAAUGGGCGAAAGCCUGAUCCAGCAAUGCCGCGUGAGUGAAGAAGGCCUUCGGGUUGUAAAGCUCUUUUGUCAGGGAAGAAACGGUGAGAGCUAAUAUCUCUUGCUAAUGACGGUACCUGAAGAAUAAGCACCGGCUAACUACGUGCCAGCAGCCGCGGUAAUACGUAGGGUGCAAGCGUUAAUCGGAAUUACUGGGCGUAAAGCGUGCGCAGGCGGUUUUGUAAGUCUGAUGUGAAAUCCCCGGGCUCAACCUGGGAAUUGCAUUGGAGACUGCAAGGCUAGAAUCUGGCAGAGGGGGGUAGAAUUCCACGUGUAGCAGUGAAAUGCGUAGAUAUGUGGAGGAACACCGAUGGCGAAGGCAGCCCCCUGGGUCAAGAUUGACGCUCAUGCACGAAAGCGUG